Molecule: transfer RNA, 73 nt
Filed under: Stegodyphus mimosarum
Lineage: Eukaryota; Metazoa; Arthropoda; Arachnida; Araneae; Eresidae
Rfam family: tRNA
About the family: Transfer RNA (tRNA) molecules are approximately 80 nucleotides in length. Their secondary structure includes four short double-helical elements and three loops (D, anti-codon, and T loops). Further hydrogen bonds mediate the characteristic L-shaped molecular structure. tRNAs have two regions of fundamental functional importance: the anti-codon, which is responsible for specific mRNA codon recognition, and the 3' end, to which the tRNAs corresponding amino acid is attached (by aminoacyl-tRNA synthetases). tRNAs cope with the degeneracy of the genetic code in two manners: having more than one tRNA (with a specific anti-codon) for a particular amino acid; and 'wobble' base-pairing, i.e. permitting non-standard base-pairing at the 3rd anti-codon position.
Source: Rfam by way of RNAcentral
GCUUUCGUGGUGUAGUGCUCAGAACGCUCGACUCGUAUUCGAGAGGUCCUUAGUUCCAGUCUCGGCGAACGCA